UAAAAUGUAUUUACAGGUUUUUUUUUGUUGAAUGAAAAGCGCCAUCUGUAUGAAUCACAACAGAGUACAGUACAAACCAGUUCAUUCCUCAAUUGCAAUUGCCUUGUGCAACAAAGCACAUGGCUGUAGUAUUGGAACCGGCUCGUCCAUUGGAUGAGUGGUUGCACUGCGUCACAGCGUGGUGUUACUUCCUUAAGUUUCAAUAAAUAAAAUCCCCUGCACGAUCACCGCACAGGGGAAGGGAUCGAUGACUGGACGAGCACGAGCACACACAAAUGCAUUGCUAAUGGGGGAGGAGGUGAUGAGUGGGUUACUGUUGCAGCAACCGGUUCUAGCUAGUUACGUGAACUACGGCUCAUUCCGGUAUGAGCAGAUUCCAUGUCCUUUGGGUUGGACAAAACAGGGCUUUGUACGAAAGAUUGGAAAUCCCAAUGGGUGGGUGGGUGUGUGUGUGAUUGACCUCUGCUGUACGUGGAAUCACAGACCGGUUUGGCAGAGAGUAGUACUACCGAAGAAGUUACAAAAUCCGUUUAAGAAGACGGGGGACAGAGGAUCAAGAAUGCGCUGGAACGAACCACCUGGAACCAGUUUGUCUAGGAUGUGGACUCCUCUUCAGCUGAUCCCCUGAGCUCUUGGGAGCGCCGAAGACAAGAGCGACUUUUAAAUGUCGCAGUAAGUUCAAUCAAAUCGCCAAUCAUCAGAGAUGACGCUUUGCCAUCUACUGUGAUAUUGCCUCAGAAAGUGCCCUUAAGAUCACACUUAGAUGCAAGAUUGUGCAAUAUCGCCUGGUUGUGCUGGAACCGGCUGCAACUGUCAGCUGCAAAUACGAUUAGGGCAAAUAAAGUGCAGUGUCAACAGACGGCCCUCCGAUGUGUUCAACACUUAUAUGCACGAUAUGGGCAGUAGAAAAAAAAAACCCCUGGAGACGAUGACGCGUAACUGCAAAUUGCGCCGGCCUGGGUCUCGUUGCGCAACCCGUGCACUUUAUGGUUGUGUUCGUGUGUGUAUGUGUGUGGUAGUCGCAAGUGUUUCUAUCAACUAUUCAGCAAAAAUUGUGGUAGGCUCUUGAACGGAAACAGUGUGGCCAAACGGAUUCAGGAAGCACCUUAUAAAUCAUGCUGGACAGAGCGGCGAUAAACCUUCACCAGAAGGAAUGUCUACCAGUCUGCUCUUCCCUGUUUCCCCCCAACAUUACCGUUUCUCUACUGCCUUGAAAAGGAAAGGCGGCCAGACCGGCCGGGUCGCUUCAUCUCUCGUGCUCUGCCAAUAAACUUCCGCCAUUUCAUAAAUAUUUACACCAAUCCCUCAUCCCCUCCCCACCAUGCCAUGUGAAUGUGACAAGAGAGGGGGAGGAAAAAGGAGACAUUUUAAUUGCACCCAACUGUGGCUGCACGUGGGCGGGCCGGCGCUGCUGCCGCCGCAACCGGGUUGUCGUCCUUGACUCGUGAGAAUUUUACAUGCACACUCGCACACAGCCGAGUGACCAGAAAUCAGCAGCAAUGGCAGCUGUGUGUGUGUGUGUGUGUGUGUCGAAUGCGGCUUUGAUCGACUGGCGCCAGCAGCAGCUCGAUCGAGACAACGGUUUUGAUUGGCCACCGGAAGGGGUUGGUUCAAGCGCGGGGUGGUUCAAGCGCGUCAUCGGGUUGGGUGUGUGUUAGCACGCGGUGUGCAAUGACUACGAUACAGCCGUGAUUAAGCAGAUCAAGCGGCACGGUCACACAGAGCCACACACACACACACCCCGUGCGAUCUUCGCUUUGUCAUCUUCGCUUUGUUGUGACGUUGAGAGUAAAGUUUGCUUACUUGUUUUACUAGACCUAUAAAAAUAGUCGUCAAAUCGUAACAAAGUUGCUUGGAGACUGUAUAAUUACCACAAAUCUACUGGACCUUUUCCAGAGUUACUAUACUUUGUUAUUUUUCUUAGCCACAGACUUCUGCUAUGCUUAACUGUCCUGUACAUUGCAAUCUGUUCCAUUUGUUCAAUAAACAUCCAGUGCGUUUGCGCUUUUCUUUGUCAAUCCA
Anopheles gambiae (African malaria mosquito) is the source of this 2022-nucleotide long non-coding RNA. RefSeq lists it as uncharacterized. The record is from RefSeq and is a predicted model, not a curated record. Lineage: Eukaryota; Metazoa; Arthropoda; Insecta; Diptera; Culicidae. The transcript has 2 exons.